CACGUGCUGUCUCGGUCAACACAAACCACACGCGUCCAACCUAAGAAGAAGGUGAGGCCUUUAGACCAGAUAGGACAAAGGUACCGUUUCCUCUACUACGGGAAACACCUUUGGCGACUGCGUGCACAACGAGAGGUCUCUAACGCUUCCGCUGGUCACCAAGAUCACGAUUUCCCAACGUUGGUUUGGAAAGUCUUUACUAUAUAUCUAAGAUCUUGCCUGGCUCCUUGGUACACUUGAGCUGGUGAUGACACACUAAGGGCUCUGUCUCAAGCUCGUCGAUGACCAGCUGGUUCACUCCUACUACAACGCCAGCUACUACCGUCCUAGUCGCAGAACCCUAUGCUGUGGUGCAGCCAGCGAGAACAAGGUGCAGAACUACUGCCACUGUCGGAGUUCAAAGGGUGGUGCGAGACCAGCUAAGAGCUAUUGUUCGAGGGUCUGCCGAGGACCCCUCUGCGACGGGACAAGGGGCGGAUACUGGCCCAGUGGUUGUGGGAAUGGACACAGCACCGAGAGUAUUUCACCAGAGAACCGGUACCAUUUACGUCCUCUC
Molecule: ribosomal RNA, 556 nt
Filed under: Triticum aestivum (bread wheat)
Lineage: Eukaryota; Viridiplantae; Streptophyta; Magnoliopsida; Poales; Poaceae
Description: partial small subunit ribosomal RNA
Source: RNAcentral